GUGGUAAUGCCGGAUGCUCCAGUUGACCGCAUGGUCCUCUGGGAAAGCUUUUGCGGUAUGGGAUGGGGUCGCGUCCUAUCAGCUUGAUGGCGGGGUAACGGCCCACCAUGGCUUCGACGGGUAGCCGGCCUGAGAGGGCGACCGGCCACAUUGGGACUGAGAUACGGCCCAGACUCCUACGGGAGGCAGCAGUGGGGAAUAUUGCACAAUGGGCGCAAGCCUGAUGCAGCGACGCCGCGUGCGGGAUGACGGCCUUCGGGUUGUAAACCGCUUUUGACUGGGAGCAAGCCCUUCGGGGUGAGUGUACCUUUCGAAUAAGCACCGGCUAACUACGUGCCAGCAGCCGCGGUAAUACGUAGGGUGCAAGCGUUAUCCGGAAUUAUUGGGCGUAAAGGGCUCGUAGGCGGUUCGUCGCGUCCGGUGUGAAAGUCCAUCGCUUAACGGUGGAUCCGCGCCGGGUACGGGCGGGCUUGAGUGCGGUAGGGGAGACUGGAAUUCCCGGUGUAACGGUGGAAUGUGUAGAUA
This 525-nucleotide ribosomal RNA is filed under the name Bifidobacterium adolescentis. Its description in RNAcentral is "partial 16S ribosomal RNA". It matches the Rfam family "Bacterial small subunit ribosomal RNA", at positions 160 to 696 of the family's 1533-position model. Lineage: Bacteria; Bacillati; Actinomycetota; Actinomycetes; Bifidobacteriales; Bifidobacteriaceae. The record is from RNAcentral.